This 501-nucleotide ribosomal RNA is filed under the name uncultured bacterium. RNAcentral's name for it is "partial 16S ribosomal RNA". It matches the Rfam family "Bacterial small subunit ribosomal RNA", at positions 30 to 523 of the family's 1533-position model. The record is from RNAcentral.
AUUGAACGCUGGCGGCAGGCUUAACACAUGCAAGUCGAGCGGAGCGAGGGUGCUUGCACCUUAGCUUAGCGGCGGACGGGUGAGUAAUGCUUAGGAAUCUGCCUAUUAGUGGGGGACAACAUUCCGAAAGGAAUGCUAAUACCGCAUACGCCCUACAGGGGAAAGCAGGGGAUCUUCGGACCUUGCGCUAAUAGAUGAGCCUAAGUCGGAUUAGCUAGUUGGUGGGGUAAAGGCCUACCAAGGCGACGAUCUGUAGCGGGUCUGAGAGGAUGAUCCGCCAAACUGGGACUGAGACACGGCCCAGACUCCUACGUGAGGCAGCAGUGGGGAAUAUUGGACAAUGGUCGGAAGCCUGAUCCAGCCAUGCCGCGUGUGUGAGGAAGGCCUUUUGGUUGUAAAGCACUUUAAGCGAGGAGGAGGCUACUUAGAUUAAUACUCUGGGAUAGUGGACGUUACUCGCAGAAUAAGCACCGGCUAACUCUGUGCCAGCCGCCGCCGUAA